Molecule: ribosomal RNA, 502 nt
Filed under: uncultured bacterium
Lineage: Bacteria
Description: partial 16S ribosomal RNA
Rfam family: Bacterial small subunit ribosomal RNA
Source: RNAcentral
GACGAACGCUGGCGGCGUGCUUAACACAUGCAAGUCGAACGGUGAAGGGGUCUGCUUUUGUGGGCCCUGGAUGAGUGGCGAACGGGUGAGUAACACGUGAGUAACCUGCCCCCUUCUUCUGGAUAACCGCAUGAAAGUGUGGCUAAUACGGGAUAUUCUGGGUCUGUCGCAUGAUGGGUCUGGGAAAGAUUGCGCCUUUGGGUGUUUUUGGUGGGGGAUGGGCUCGCGGCCUAUCAGCUUGUUGGUGGGGUGAUGGCCUACCAAGGCGGUGACGGGUAGCCGGCCUGAGAGGGUGGACGGUCACACUGGGACUGAGACACGGCCCAGACUACUACGGGAGGCAGCAGUGGGGAAUAUUGCACAAUGGGCGCAAGCCUGAUGCAGCGACGCCGCGUGAGGGAGGGAGGCCUUCGGGUUGUAAACCUCUUUCGCCAGUGAAGCAGGCCUGCUCCUUGUUGGUGGGUUGACGGUAGCUGGAGAAGAAGCGCCGGCUAACUACGUG